GCUCCAUUGAUUGCUUGAGAUUUUGAAGCAUACAUUAAAAAUAACGUACUAAGCAUCUAUAUUUUUAGUUAGAUUAAAUACAUAUUAUAGAAUUUCAGUUUCCACCCAUUGACCAUCAAUCCAAUCUUUUAUUCUUUAGUACCCAUAAUAAUAUAUAAAAGUGCUUUUGAAUCAAAUUCCCAUCACAAGGAUCAAUGCUAUGAAACAGUUUUUCAUUUCUUAAAUAUGAUGAGUGUAACCACUUUCAAUCUGUGAUGUACAGAGAUGGAGUUGACAUCAGUGAGUCAGUCUUCCACUCAACUCCGACUUGCUUUUGACAGUUGUCUGAAAACGUCAAGUGGCAUGUCCAUCUUCCGAUUUGUUUUUCAGGAGCCGAACAUGUGCCGAUUCACCGUGACACGGCGUGGUGUAAAGUUCGACUUGCUAAAACAUUAAAAAUAACAAAGAAGAAAAACGAAAAUGGAGGAGAAGCAAGUAGCGUAACCUUGAACUCCAUUUUUGCAUGUUUAGUGUCGUGCUGAUGACAGUGGCGGAUUCAAGUAGUGGCGAGCUAGGGCGGCCCCCCUAACUGGAUCCGCCGGAGUCUUCAAUAGCCGUCGGGACCGCCGAAUUGGAGUUGCAGUCUCCAAGUAUUUCUGGGUGCUGUUACUACUGUAUCUACAUAAAAUGAACAGACAUGUAUAAAUACACAAAACACACAAAGAGAAAACUCACCAUUUUUUAUUUUCUUGGGCUUGUUGAUGGGUAGCAGAUCCUUGCCAUUAGAGGAAUUGAAGUCCCAGAACUCAAAAAUUGUAUCAAAUUAAGCCCAUAAUAAUUCCGUGGUUAAUUUUCCUCUCUUAUUGAUGAUGGGUUCAGGAAAUAAUUGCAUUUUGUGUGUGUGUUCAGUUCUUGAGAUUUGAGAAGAUGAUAGAUACAGAAAGAAAUGUGUAUGACAGUCUGAGUAGGUUGCUGUGAGAGAGAGAGAGAGAGAGAGAGAGAGGAUGUGGCUUUUCUU
This 997-nucleotide long non-coding RNA is filed under the name Olea europaea subsp. europaea. The record is from RNAcentral. Lineage: Eukaryota; Viridiplantae; Streptophyta; Magnoliopsida; Lamiales; Oleaceae.